Long non-coding RNA from Morus notabilis, 382 nucleotides. RefSeq lists it as uncharacterized. The transcript is spliced from 2 exons. NCBI's taxonomy places the organism in Eukaryota, Viridiplantae, Streptophyta, Magnoliopsida, Rosales, Moraceae. The record is from RefSeq and is a predicted model, not a curated record.
CUUCCUUACUCUCUUUCUCUCAGUCCUCUUAUCUUCUUUUCCCCUUCUUCAUUUAAUUCUCUUCCUUGCACCCAAGCUUAGUCCUCGAUCUUCUUCCUGACAUGCAAAGGGUCUUCUUCUCGACUUCACCUUUUUCUCCUCGGCGUUUAGCUUUGCUUCUUCUCGGCGUGACUCGGCGUUUAGCUUUACUUCUUCUCGGUGUGUGGUACUAAUUUCGUCUGGUCUGAGCUGUGGAUGAAAGAACAGAGUGGAAAUUGAUUUGAAGAAAUCGAGUCCCCAAAUGUUUAUGUUUGUGGUUGUGGAUUGAUUGAUAAACUAUUUUUUUAUUUGUGAGAUGUUUUAUGUUUGUGUUUCCUUUGAUUUGUAACUUAGAUUAAUUAUA